GAUGAACGCUAGCGGCAGGCUUAACACAUGCAAGUCGAGGGGCAGCAUGAGACGGAGAUUCGUCAAAGUCUUGAUGGCGACCGGCGCAAGGGUGCGUAACGCGUGAGCAACUUGCCCGUUUCAGGGGGAUAACCGGUGGAAACGCCGACUAAUACCCCAUAGCAUUGGUUUGAGGCAUCUCUUACCAAUUAAAGAAUUUCGGAAACGGAUAGGCUCGCGUGACAUUAGCUAGAUGGCGGGGUAACGGCCCACCAUGGCGACGAUCGGUAGCCGACCUGAGAGGGUGAUCGGCCACAUUGGAACUGAGAUACGGUCCAGACUCCUACGGGAGGCAGCAGUGGGGAAUAUUGGGCAAUGGGCGAAAGCCUGACCCAGCAACGCCGCGUGAAGGAAGAAGGCUUUCGGGUGUAAACUUCUUUACCAGGGACGAAGAACGUGACGGUACCUGGAGAAAAAGCAACGGACUAACUACGUG
RNAcentral lists this ribosomal RNA (475 nucleotides) under uncultured bacterium. RNAcentral's name for it is "bacterial SSU rRNA". It matches the Rfam family "Bacterial small subunit ribosomal RNA", at positions 28 to 507 of the family's 1533-position model. The record is from RNAcentral.